RNAcentral lists this long non-coding RNA (3348 nucleotides) under Gallus gallus (chicken). RNAcentral's name for it is "lncRNA (ENSGALG00010023708.1)". The record is from RNAcentral. Lineage: Eukaryota; Metazoa; Chordata; Aves; Galliformes; Phasianidae.
GCCAACUGGUCCAGCUUCUCAGGGAUUUUAUUUACUCAGCAUCUGGAAAACCUUGGGCAAAUGCACAGGCCUUCUCAACAGUCUGCUUCACUGAGGUUAAGAGAAGUCAUCGCCUUUUCCUCAGCCUAACAGCCCGCCCACACUGAGCUCUGUCCCGUGCCUCUUCUCACAGACAUGCAGGCAGAACCAGGGCUCUGCUGCUCUGAUGGCACGCUGCUGCUGCUGUGCUGCCAUCUUCCAUGGGCCAUCAUCUGCCAGCCGUGCGGUGUCACUGCCUGCUGACAGGCAUCGGCCCCUUCACAUCCCCUCCUGCACAUUGCUCCUUUGUUUUCCUGCUAAUUCCGAGAAGCAGGUCUGUGCCAUUUCCAGCCCCCGAUCCUCCAGGAACAAAUGCCAAAACUGAAAGCCAAUACUUGGGAAUGUUGUCCUGGAGGUAUCGACAGAAACACUUCCCAUCAUUUCAUUUACCGAGGAAAACACCCUUGAAAACACUCCACUGUGGAACGCCUUCCUUGUCUUGGUCACCUCUGGGACUUCCAGCGUCUUCUUGGGGCGAGACCUUCACCGGGACCCGCCCCACUUCUCACUUGUGACCAAAGCACUCAAAAAGAGUGAAGAAAGCAGAGGAAGUGCCCUCUGCCAUCUGGCGUGAGGGAGCUGCCCAUGCUUCAAAGCCCCGCGCGGACAGGAAGGGCUGUGGGGCGAUGCCGAGUGUGGGGCGAGGAAAUGGCGGGGCCGAUGGGACAUGAAAGCCGCGAGCGUGUCAAAGGCAGGACGGAAGUGUUGUAGAGGGCAGCCCUAUUUUUAGCCGCCUCUUGCGAGCUAGCGCUCGCUGUAGAAGAGCUGCUUCCCCUUUCCUUGAUGUAAGCAGAGCCCCAUUGGCGUUUGGGCCUGUUUUUAUUUGGCCACUCACGCAGUUAUGCUGACUGAAAGGUCCCUUGAGCACCGCUGACUCAAAAACACCCAUGGUCGCAGAGUCCUGAGCAAGGAGAACAGAAAGCAUCUGGCACUUCCCUGUCCCCAUUUCAGGACCGAGAGAGGUAGAACCCAAAGCUGAGGCUGCAGAGCGUGACUCUUAGUCAUAUCAACAGGGGAUUUUGCAAUUGGUGGGUGCGGGGUGCGAGGCAGGCAGUCUGCAAGCAAAUUUGAAGUGCUCUGCAAAGCACUGGAGUGGGGUUCCUCUGCUGCCAGGCCUGCGCAGCACAGUGCGGCCCUCACUCCCUGCUGCCCUGCAGCCUGCCGGGCCGCUCCAUUUGGGCACAGGGUUUAGCACAAGUGAGCAGGCAGCUCACGUGGUGAGCGGUGGGUGGCCAUGGCUGCCCUGUAUCUGCCUCCUGUUCACAUUUGCAGCAGCCGACUUCUAUGCAAGGCAGGGUCUAAAGUGGAUCCCGCUGAGUUUGGCCCAGUUUGGCUGGUGCUGUUCAGCUCAGGGACAGGAUGGAAGGAUGGAGUUGAGACUCAUAGAGCCAGCACUCCCAGCAUCCCAUUCCUGCAGCGGAUACACAGAUUACCUAUCAGUAGAGCUCCUUCUUAAGCCGGAUUGAUUAAGGCAGAAUUUGCAAUCGUUGAAUGAGAGAUGACACAAUCAUAGAAUGGCUCAGGUUGGAGGGGACGCUAAAGAUCACCCAGUUCCAGCCCGCCGCCGUGGGCAGGGAUGUGGAUGGAGAAGUGCUUUGUACUGUAACAGUUUCAUUUAGAAGCGAGAAGUCCUUCAUGAGGAGGUAGUGGGAGGAGGAGGUUAUUGACAAUGCCACUCCUGUCCGAAGGAAUGUGCUGGAAAGUUGCAGUGGCCUCUAGAUGGCAGCCCCAUUACUCACUCGUCAGAAAACUGAAAAUAAACGCCUUCCCUUUCAAAGCUGGACUUACAGGCAGGCCUAAAGCUUCGGGAGCUCAGACCAAAACCCGCGGGCAGUCAAGAUGACAGUGGGACCCAUCCGGCUUUGUUUUUUCCCCUUCGCCUCGCCCAAAAGGAGGAGCGAGGACUCGCUUCCCUCUGGACUCUGUAUUUGGUAAUGGGCCGGGAGCUGCCGCUGGGAGCUCGUCCUGACGUUCCUGGAGUCGUCUGGAAAGCGAGGCGGAGCCGCGGUGCUGUGCCCAGGGGUGCGCCUCGCCCCGGGUGCCGGCGGCUCUGCUGGGAGCGGGAGGUCCGCGCCGUGCUGCCGUGUGUGACCCGUGGGACGCGGGGCGGGCAGCUUCCACAGCACCAGAGCAGCGCUCUGCCAGAGCUAUUUGUAUAGUAAAUUGCUGUAUUGUUUCAAUUAAAAAAACGCAGCCGGGCAUUUAAUGGCUCCCAUCUGCGGCCACUCUGCGUAAUUCACUUCCCACUUUAAGGUUUUGCCAGCAGAUUUAGUCUGAGCCUCAUCAGCAGGGGACCUGGAUAAGAAACCGUGGUCAGCUGCCUCUCAGCUCCGAGCCAGUCUUCCUCAAAGAGCGACGGUAACUUUGGAUGCCACGACUGCGUGACACGCAGCUGCAACCUUGACCUGGUAGGAUCUCCUACGGUCAGAUCCAGCAGAGAGGAGGUGUGCAGUGGGAGCACAUGGGGCGUGAACACAGAGGUUCCUGCUGAGGCAGAAGAAGGUGGCGUGACCCCGAAAAAGGGAACAGGAGCUGCAACUUCCACCCUUGUGGGCUAAGAGGAACGACCACCCCUGAGGUCCCAUGAAGCUGCAGGCUGCUCCAGACCCACCCUUAUGCGGGAAGGAACACACCCUUGCCUCUGCCUGCAUGUGGCUGCAGGUUCCUCGCUGCAGCCCAGCCCUCCUGAUGAUGUGUGGCCUUCGGGUGGUGCGACACGGCGCUGCUGGGGAGUGGGCUGGCUGUGGUGGGCUUCCUCCUCGCCUUACUGCCACGUGCUGCCCCUACAAGACAACCUCCCGCCAGCUGGAAACCCAGCGCGGCCUCGUGUCCCCAAAAUAAAGAUUUUGUCCUACAGUUUCAUGACUGUAAUUGUUAAGCAGCUCUGUUGUAAGCUUCCCACUAUUUGCCUCAAGCAGCUCAUCCCUGCGGUUCCUCCCAUGCUAAUCUCUGCGAUCUGUGGCAUGCAUACAGCGCUGGCUGGAACGGUCCCUCCCCUCUGCUGCACCGUAUUUGCCAGAACAGGCAUAACUCCAGAUAACCGGAUUUGAAACAAUCAGAGCAGGAAGUGGCAAUAACUGGCCUGGAGGGAAGGCGGGGAGUUGCCCAUAGACAGUUUUUUAGAAGGGUGCCCAAUUUGUGCUAUCUGAUCUCUUUCCACGCUCCUUUAGCCCAGGUACAAAGGCAGGAUGUAAAGCUUGCAGGAGUCAUUUCCAUCCUCUCUCCCUGGCUUCUGACUGAGUUCAGAUCUGUACCGUCUCUUUCUUACAG